Molecule: long non-coding RNA, 354 nt
Filed under: Vigna radiata
Lineage: Eukaryota; Viridiplantae; Streptophyta; Magnoliopsida; Fabales; Fabaceae
Description: long non-coding RNA (VRAD_LNC005351)
Source: RNAcentral
GACUCUAAAUUCGGACCCCUAAGAGAGCUUCCUAUUCGCACAAGAUAUUUGCUAUCUAGUCGAGAAUUGGAAAGACAAUUAAAGUGAGGUCUCCUAGGUGAGGCUUAGACUUUGGAUCUAAGACACACUCACCGACUACUCAAUUUUAGGUUGUGAGACUUCUUUGAGUCUAGUUACAAAUGAGGGAAGAUCACUUGUGAACUCUAGCACCUCACUUGCUUGGAUUUGGAACUUACAACCAAAGAAAUCAAUGGAAAUUACAAAAGCAAUUGGAUGAAUUGGAAAAGGAAAUUAAACUAGACUAAGGAAUUGAUAUGUGCAGCUUUGGUUGCUCUCAAAGAACUUGAAUCUGCU